UACGUAGGGUGCAAGCGUUGCUCGGAAUCACUGGGCGUAAAGGGUGCGUAGGCGGGUUUUUAAGUCAGGGGUGAAAUCCUGGAGCUCAACUCCAGAACUGCCUUUGAUACUGAAGAUCUUGAGUCCGGGAGAGGUGAGUGGAACUGCGAGUGUAGAGGUGAAAUUCGUAGAUAUUCGCAAGAACACCAGUGGCGAAGGCGGCUCACUGGCCCGGUACUGACGCUGAGGCACGAAAGCGUGGGGAGCAAACAGG
This 253-nucleotide ribosomal RNA is filed under the name uncultured bacterium. RNAcentral describes it as "partial 16S ribosomal RNA". It matches the Rfam family "Bacterial small subunit ribosomal RNA", at positions 524 to 776 of the family's 1533-position model. The record is from RNAcentral.